RNAcentral lists this transfer RNA (73 nucleotides) under Ailuropoda melanoleuca (giant panda). It matches the Rfam family "tRNA". Rfam says of the family: Transfer RNA (tRNA) molecules are approximately 80 nucleotides in length. Their secondary structure includes four short double-helical elements and three loops (D, anti-codon, and T loops). Lineage: Eukaryota; Metazoa; Chordata; Mammalia; Carnivora; Ursidae. The record is from Rfam by way of RNAcentral.
GCCUGGCUGGCUCAAUUGGCAGAGCACGUGACUCUUGAUCACAGGGUUAUGAGUUUGAGCCCCAUGUCCAGCA